Molecule: transfer RNA, 98 nt
Filed under: Coniochaeta pulveracea
Lineage: Eukaryota; Fungi; Ascomycota; Sordariomycetes; Coniochaetales; Coniochaetaceae
Description: tRNA-His
Source: RNAcentral
GGUUCCGUGGUCUAGUGGUUAUGACUGUUCGUUGUGGAACAUCCUCAGGGAUAUCGCCAUUAUCCGAACCAGCCCGUGUUCGAUUCACGGCGGAGCCA